This 253-nucleotide ribosomal RNA is filed under the name uncultured bacterium. RNAcentral's name for it is "partial 16S ribosomal RNA". It matches the Rfam family "Bacterial small subunit ribosomal RNA", at positions 524 to 776 of the family's 1533-position model. The record is from RNAcentral.
UACGAAGGGGGCUAGCGUUGUUCGGAAUCACUGGGCGUAAAGCGCACGUAGGCGGACUCUUAAGUCGGUGGUGAAAUCCUGGAGCUCAACUCCAGAACUGCCUUCGAUACUGAGAGUCUCGAGUCCGGGAGAGGUGAGUGGAACUGCGAGUGUAGAGGUGAAAUUCGUAGAUAUUCGCAAGAACACCAGUGGCGAAGGCGGCCUUCUGGACAGUGACUGACGCUGAGACGCGAAAGCGUGGGGAGCAAACAGG